This 429-nucleotide ribosomal RNA is filed under the name uncultured Pneumocystis. Its description in RNAcentral is "SSU rRNA". It matches the Rfam family "Bacterial small subunit ribosomal RNA", at positions 934 to 1325 of the family's 1533-position model. Lineage: Eukaryota; Fungi; Ascomycota; Pneumocystomycetes; Pneumocystales; Pneumocystaceae. The record is from RNAcentral.
AUUNGAAGCAUGUUGUUUAAUUCGAUAACCCACGACAAAUCUUACCACUUCUUGUAUAUUAUUUAUCUUAAUAUAUUGAAAUUAUUAUAUUGUUUUUAUAUAAUAAAGAGUAUAUUAUUAAAAUAAUACAGGUGUUGCAUGGCUGUCUUUAGUUCGUGUUGUGAAAUGUUAGGUUAAUUCCGAUAACGAACGCAACCCUUAUUUUUAAUUAUAAAUUCUAAAAAUUGUGUAAUUUAAUUUAAAAAAAGAUCUUUCUAUAAGAAAGAGUAAUUAGGAUGAAGACAAGUCCUCAUGACCCUUAUGAAGUGGGCUACAGACGUGCCACAUAGAUUUCAACAAUAGGAUGCAAAGAUGAAAAUUAGAGCUAAUCCUUAAAUAAAAUCUUAGUUCGGAUAAGAGUCUGAAACUCGAUUCUUUGAANAAUUCCCA